RNAcentral lists this long non-coding RNA (1712 nucleotides) under Capsella rubella. RNAcentral's name for it is "long non-coding RNA (CRUB_LNC001765)". Lineage: Eukaryota; Viridiplantae; Streptophyta; Magnoliopsida; Brassicales; Brassicaceae. The record is from RNAcentral.
GAAGACAUUAUUUUUGAUUGAUUCUUUUGCCAAUUGAUGUAAAGAACAUUUACAUAAGGGUUUGCAAGGACAAACCAAAGUACAAACUGGAAAUAGCAACCAGACAUUUUACAAACUCUAGUCAUAUAUUAAACCAAAAGAGAUCAGGAAAAUAUCACAUCCUGUCACAAGAGGCUCGUUCCUUGUUUGAUCAUCAUAUACAUGCUUUAUUUCGAUGAAUGUGUUGUGUUCGCAUAAUAUUAGCGUCAUGUUCCAUCCGUCAAAAACAUGACUUAGUCGACGGCCUCAACUAUUUGACAACCAGAUGAUAGUGGACUGAAUUCUUGUUCUUCUCACACCCACACACAAUACUUAUAAAGAUUUAAACCUGACAUAAAAAAAAUUAUCUCUAUUAUGUUCACCUCUAUAGAAAUUCUAGUCCAUCCGCUCAUAUCUCCCUCUUGCAUUGAAGAAACUGUCUUUCUCCAAUAAAACUAGUCCUAUAUCCUCACUAAGUAAAAGAUCACCUUUAUAUUUGACCUUGACUAAAAUUUGAUAUCUAUGCUCACCGGCCGUACCCAAUAUUCACUUACUAUAUAAUGUUUGUUGUUGGAAACAAACCAAAGUCCCACAUCGGAAAAUUAGAAAAAGAAGUUUAUAAUAUAUAAGUCAAGUUCAACUUAAAUUAGUGUGAGAUCUUUUAGAAAAGAGCCCAAUAACAAAUCCGUGCGGACUUGAGUAAUGAGUUCAAAGCGAACAAUAUCAUACUAUUGAAAGAAAUUGACUUGACUUGAAAACCCAACAAGGUUUUAAUCCACACUCGCAUCCCUGUCAAUAAGCACAUACAUAUUCCUCGCAUGAACUUAUUCUCUUUUCUCAACAAGUAAGAUUACCUCAUGAUCACUUAUUCCAAAGAUUACCUCGCAUGAACUUAUUAUUUUUCAUUUUUAUCACCAAGAAAGUAUCAUAUAUCAAAAUUGGGUUUGAAAACUCAUUCACUUUCAUAUAUUAUUUUAGUCACCGGUAGAGAUGCCUAUGCAGGGUAAAUGCAUCAGAAUGAGUUAAUAUUCAUAUUCGAACCAUAACUAUAUAUAACAGUUAUUUUGAUUCUAAAACAAAAGAAGAAAGUCCUAUACAGUUGUAUAAAGACUCAGUAACUUAUGCGAGUAAAUGCACCAAAAAUGAGGUGUACAUUCAAUUUGGUCUUAGGUUUUUCGUUUUCCUUCCGAUUUUCAGUUUAUAAAUAAUAGAAUAUCCAAAUAAAAGUUUAAUUUAUCAUAUAUAGUUUGGUAUACUUUUGUUCGUUUGGAUUGUAAUGUACGUCGAAGAAUGAUUGUGCAAUCACAUAUACAUAUACAUGUAGGAAGAAGAUAUUGAUAGAGAUAUCAUACAAUAUGAUCAUACACUAUCAUAAUUAGGUCGUGAAGCUAUAUAUCUCCCCCAUGUGUUAUUCCAAUUUGUAUAAAAAUAAAAUUAAAAACAACAAUAAGUGUGGCCAAUUAGUACUAUCUAAAGUAAUUUAAGAUUUUGGAUUAAAAUUUAGAAACCUUUCUCUCUAUAAAAGCAGUAGCUAUCUCUCUGCCCACCACCACCUCAAAAUAUCAACUCUCUCUCACACUUUCAGAACUCUCCUUUUCUAUUUCUCUCUCUAGAAAAUAUCUUCAUCUAUUGAUUAGAUAUAGAGUAGAGUUAUCAAGAGUUACUUCGUAGAUAUGGAGAAAAGAGAAGGCAGU